GGACUACCGGGGUAUCUAAUCCUGUUUGCUCCCCACGCUUUCGUGCAUGAGCGUCAGUGUUAUCCCAGGGGGCUGCCUUCGCCAUCGGUAUUCCUCCACAUCUCUACGCAUUUCACUGCUACACGUGGAAUUCUACCCCCCUCUGACACACUCUAGCUAUGCAGUCACAAAUGCCAUUCCCAGGUUAAGCCCGGGGAUUUCACACCUGUCUUACAUAACCGCCUGCGCACGCUUUACGCCCAGUAAUUCCGAUUAACGCUUGCACCCUACGUAUUACCGCGGCGGCUGGCAC
Molecule: ribosomal RNA, 292 nt
Filed under: uncultured bacterium
Lineage: Bacteria
Also listed under: 1 other name
Description: partial 16S ribosomal RNA
Source: RNAcentral